AGGGAACGCUGGCGGUAGGCCUAACACAUGCAAGUCGAACGGCAGCACAGUAAGAGCUUGCUCUUACGGGUGGCGAGUGGCGGACGGGUGAGGAAUACAUCGGAAUCUACUUUUUCGUGGGGGAUAACGUAGGGAAACUUACGCUAAUACCGCAUACGACCUACGGGUGAAAGCAGGGGAUCUUCGGACCUUGCGCGAUUGAAUGAGCCGAUGUCGGAUUAGCUAGUUGGCGGGGUAAAGGCCCACCAAGGCGACGAUCCGUAGCUGGUCUGAGAGGAUGAUCAGCCACACUGGAACUGAGACACGGUCCAGACUCCUACGGGAGGCAGCAGUGGGGAAUAUUGGACAAUGGGCGCAAGCCUGAUCCAGCCAUACCGCGUGGGUGAGGAAGGCCUUCGGGUUGUAAAGCCCUUUUGUUGGGAAAGAAAAGCAGCAGGUUAAUACCCCGCUGUUCUGACGGUACCCAAAGAAUAAGCACCGGCUAACUUCGUG
Molecule: ribosomal RNA, 492 nt
Filed under: uncultured bacterium
Lineage: Bacteria
Description: partial 16S ribosomal RNA
Rfam family: Bacterial small subunit ribosomal RNA
Source: RNAcentral